AUUGAAAAAGCAGUUUAUCGAUUUUUAUAUAGAAUAUUUAUAUGGAGUAUAUAUUAAGUGGAUUUCUUAACACAACUAAUUUUGUUUUUGGCUAAAGCUAUUGGAUUCUAUCGAAUCCGUAACUAGAACUCUAGCUCCACCCUUGAUGUUCAAUUGACCAUCCUUCUGUCCAUGUGGCUGACUCUUUAACUUCCUUUUGCAAAUUUGCGCAGGAGGCUUUAGAAUUUAUGGAACAACUAACUACGAGCAUGGGCCAAGACACAGAAUUAAGCAUAGAUAACAUUUAUGAAGGUGUUGAUGUUACAGCAAUAGUAAAAUGGCAUUUAGAGUGGAAGAAGAAGGAAGUUCCAUUCACAAGAGGUUGCAGUUACUAUGAAUAAUCAAGAGAUGGAGAACAACUACUCAUUAAGAAUGCUCAAGUUAUUACAGAAUCAUCUAUGAUACCAAGAAUUUUGGCGGUGUUCAAAAUGGUUACUUCAGUAUUUGACGACUUUCCUGAUGCAGCUAGGAGGUUUCUAAAGAACCACCAAGGUACUGUUCAAAUAUUACUAAAUACUUACAGGAUUGUUCUGCAACCAUUCACAAGUCCAGUUCUUGCAUGGUACAAAAAGUUGUGGACAUUCGCAAUCACCUUUAUUGGACUCACAAACAAGUUAGUGCAGUUCAUUAUGAAGAAUUUCAAAGAGUAGAACAGAGUUACAAUGAAAAUCCUAAGCCCGGUCCAGUACUCUAUACAUACCAUAGCUAAUUGAUCUAACCAAAUUCCCCAAGAACCCAAGUUUGAGAAUUUUGGCUAUUCUUUAAGCUCGUGGGUAUGAAUCGUUCAGCGCAUAGGUGACAUUAACGAGUUAUUUGAAUGCGUGAUUUACUUGUGACGCCAAAUUCAGGAUUUUGUCAUGGAAUUCGACCCGUCGAACUUGAAACUUUUUACAAUACUUCUUUUGUUCCAAUUUAUGUGACACUUUUCCUUUUGUAGUCGGUCUAGAAAGAAUGACAAAUUUCUGUAUUCAGCAACUACUUAGCUUUAGACUUUCUAUUUUACCUUAAUAAGCUAAUUUAUAUAGCCGCACAAAUAUAUAUGGAU
Molecule: long non-coding RNA, 1084 nt
Organism: Lycium barbarum (goji berry)
Lineage: Eukaryota; Viridiplantae; Streptophyta; Magnoliopsida; Solanales; Solanaceae
Exons: 5
Source: RefSeq, a predicted model, not a curated record